UGAAACUUAAGUUAGCCCAAACUAGUGACCUUCAACGUCACAAACAGGUAAAACACCUAGUUUCAG
RNAcentral lists this transfer RNA (66 nucleotides) under Phrynocephalus ornatus. RNAcentral's name for it is "tRNA-Trp". Lineage: Eukaryota; Metazoa; Chordata; Lepidosauria; Squamata; Agamidae. The record is from RNAcentral.